This 424-nucleotide ribosomal RNA is filed under the name uncultured bacterium. RNAcentral describes it as "bacterial SSU rRNA". It matches the Rfam family "Bacterial small subunit ribosomal RNA", at positions 356 to 772 of the family's 1533-position model. The record is from RNAcentral.
GGGGAAUUUUGGACAAUGGGGGCAACCCUGAUCCAGCCAUGCCGCGUGUGUGAAGAAGGCCUUCGGGUUGUAAAGCACUUUCGGCCGGAACGAAAUCGCGCGGGUGAAUAUCCCGCGUGGAUGACGGUACUAGGUGAAUAAGCACCGGCUAACUCCGUGCCAGCAGCCGCGGUAAUACGUAGGUGGCAAGCGUUGUCCGGAUUUAUUGGGUUUAAAGGGUGCGUAGGCGGCCUUGUAAGUCAGUGGUGAAAUACUCUAGCUUAACUAGAGGGGUGCCAUUGAUACUGCAGGGCUUGAGUACAGACGAGGUAGGCGGAAUUGACGGUGUAGCGGUGAAAUGCAUAGAUAUCGUCAAGAACUCCGAUAGUGAAGACAGCUUACUAGGCUGUAACUGACGCUGAGGCACGAAAGUGUGGGGAUCAAA